AUAGGAAGACAACCUCAGGGGUUACCUCCACGGCCACCAACUCCAGAGGGCUGUCUGCUCUACACCUCUGCUCAGUCCACUUCUGGCAGGAGCGGAGGACUUCCGUGCCAUACAGAAAGUCUCACUGGAAUUGUGUCUGUUGAAGAACCCCACAUCCUAGCACAGAUUUGGAAGGCUGGAUUCCUUGCUGGCAGCAGUAGGCUCAUCAGAACAGGAGGUCCAGGCUGCCUCUCAAAAUCCAGACCAGCUCCUCAGCAUCCACACGAUGUACAACUCAGCCAAAAUCCAUGGUGGAAGGACAAAGAAAGAGCUGGAUCUGGAACAACCGAGGCCCCGCUGUUCUUUGCCUUGUUUAGGACUCUCACUGUGUUCAGAACCCUCGUAGACAUAGGGUAGUCUUCGUCCUCCUAGACUUGGCAAGGGAAGGAGAGAGGAGGAACAGGGAUUGUCAUCCCCACAUGCCUGGACAGUAUUCUAAGUCCCUUCCAAAAUGGAAUGUUGAUAGUUAUUUGUAGGUUGAGAAAUGUAUGACUAGUACAGAAUUGGGCCAGGGACCUGGAACAUCGAAACCUUCCUUCCAUCAUCCACUCCUUCCUGCAAGGUCGUGAGGGAAUCUAUACUCGCUGAGGACAAAGACAGGCAAAGGGACAGUUUUUCUAGCUGGUGCUUUGGCCCCAAGCCCUAUCGUCAAACUCCAGUGACCUGGCCUGGGUCACUGAAAGGGCUCGCUCUGGCUGACUCAGAACCAAAGCACAAAUCCGAACCUCAGGUCAAAC
RNAcentral lists this long non-coding RNA (776 nucleotides) under Equus asinus (donkey). Its description in RNAcentral is "lncRNA (ENSEASG00005038683.1)". Lineage: Eukaryota; Metazoa; Chordata; Mammalia; Perissodactyla; Equidae. The record is from RNAcentral.